This 301-nucleotide ribosomal RNA is filed under the name uncultured bacterium. Its description in RNAcentral is "partial 16S ribosomal RNA". It matches the Rfam family "Bacterial small subunit ribosomal RNA", at positions 509 to 807 of the family's 1533-position model. The record is from RNAcentral.
CAGUAGCCACGGGAAUACGAAGGGGGCUAGCGUUGCUCGGAAUGACUGGGCGUAAAGGGCGCGUAGGCGGAUGGCACAGUCAGAUGUGAAAUUCCAGGGCUUAACCUUGGGGCUGCGUUCGAGACGGGUAUUCUAGAGUGGAGAAGAGGGUCGUGGAAUUCCCAGUGUAGAGGUGAAAUUCGUAGAUAUUGGGAAGAACACCGGUGGCGAAGGCGGCAACCUGGUCUUUUACUGACGCUGAGGCGCGAAAGCGUGGGGAGCAAACAGGAUUAGAUACCCCUGUAGUCCCUGUCUCUUAUAC